CCCUCCCUCUGGCGGCAUGCCUAACACAUGCAAGUCGAACGAGACCUUCGGGUCUAGUGGCGCACGGGUGCGUAACGCGUGGGAACCUGCCCUUAGGUUCGGAAUAACUCCCCGAAAGGGGUGCUAAUACCGGAUAAUGUCUUCGGACCAAAGAUUUAUCGCCUUUGGAUGGGCCCGCGUUGGAUUAGCUAGUUGGUAGGGUAAAAGCCUACCAAGGCGACGAUCCAUAGCUGGUCUGAGAGGAUGAUCAGCCACACUGGGACUGAGACACGGCCCAGACUCCUACGGGAGGCAGCAGUGGGGAAUAUUGGACAAUGGGCGAAAGCCUGAUCCAGCAAUGCCGCGUGAGUGAUGGAGGCCUUAGGGUUGUAAAGCUCUUUUACCCGGGAUGAUAAUGACAGUACCGGGAGAAUAAGCUCCGGCUAACUCCGUG
RNAcentral lists this ribosomal RNA (433 nucleotides) under uncultured bacterium. Its description in RNAcentral is "partial 16S ribosomal RNA". It matches the Rfam family "Bacterial small subunit ribosomal RNA", at positions 36 to 507 of the family's 1533-position model. The record is from RNAcentral.